UUCGACGUUCGUCAUCGCUUGAGAAUUCGAUCAACACCAAGCCCUAGCCGGACUCUAAUACCAUUUCUCACGACUUGUUCCCUUUACAAUUGCUUGGAUGAAGGAGCUGGUGCAGUUAGAAUUCUCACCGAGAAAGUGUAGGCGGCAGCAGCAGCAAAGGUAUUCAGUUUAUAAGUCAUUUAUUUAAUAAAAAGAGCUUUUGAGAUAUUGUAUGUAAAACCAGUUAUUGUAUGAACUUGUAUGAACUUGUUCUCAUAUUCAUUCAUGAUGGCAGUGAGUCUAAAUGCUGAUUUAUAACAUUCUAUCAAUUAAUUUUGCAGUGUAAAGGAAGAUGGCAGUAUAUAGGUAUGUACCCUAUUAUUAGCAAUCUUAUUUCAAAAUAGCAAGAGCCCAC
Molecule: long non-coding RNA, 394 nt
Filed under: Erythranthe guttata (spotted monkey flower)
Lineage: Eukaryota; Viridiplantae; Streptophyta; Magnoliopsida; Lamiales; Phrymaceae
Description: long non-coding RNA (EGUT_LNC003753)
Source: RNAcentral